This 1360-nucleotide ribosomal RNA is filed under the name bacterium YC-LKJ41. Its description in RNAcentral is "bacterial SSU rRNA". It matches the Rfam family "Bacterial small subunit ribosomal RNA", at positions 76 to 1416 of the family's 1533-position model. The record is from RNAcentral.
UGGAUUUACUGGACGUCGAGCGGCGGACGGGUGAGUAACGGCUGGGAACCUGCCCUGACGAGGGGGAUAACCGUUGGAAACGACGGCUAAUACCGCAUAAUGUCUUGAUUCGUUAGAGUCAGGACCAAAGGUGGCCUCUACAUGUAAGCUAUCGCGUUGGGAUGGGCCCAGUUAGGAUUAGCUAGUUGGUAAGGUAAUGGCUUACCAAGGCAACGAUCCUUAACUGGUUUGAGAGGAUGAUCAGCCACACUGGGACUGAGACACGGCCCAGACUCCUACGGGAGGCAGCAGUGGGGAAUAUUGCACAAUGGGGGAGACCCUGAUGCAGCCAUGCCGCGUGUGUGAAGAAGGCCUUCGGGUUGUAAAGCACUUUCAGCAGUGAGGAAGGUCGUGUACUUAAUACGUGCACGGCUUGACGUUAGCUGCAGAAGAAGCACCGGCUAACUCCGUGCCAGCAGCCGCGGUAAUACGGAGGGUGCGAGCGUUAAUCGGAAUUACUGGGCGUAAAGCGCAUGCAGGCGGUUUGUUAAGUCAGAUGUGAAAGCCCGGGGCUCAACCUCGGAACCGCAUUUGAAACUGGCAGGCUAGAGUCUUGUAGAGGGGGGUAGAAUUUCAGGUGUAGCGGUGAAAUGCGUAGAGAUCUGAAGGAAUACCAGUGGCGAAGGCGGCCCCCUGGACAAAGACUGACGCUCAGAUGCGAAAGCGUGGGUAGCAAACAGGAUUAGAUACCCUGGUAGUCCACGCCGUAAACGCUGUCUACUUGGAGGUUGAGGUUUUAGACUUUGGCUUUCGGCGCUAACGCAUUAAGUAGACCGCCUGGGGAGUACGGCCGCAAGGUUAAAACUCAAAUGAAUUGACGGGGGCCCGCACAAGCGGUGGAGCAUGUGGUUUAAUUCGAUGCAACGCGAAGAACCUUACCUACUCUUGACAUCCAGCGAAGCCUUUAGAGAUAGAGGCGUGCCUUCGGGAGCGCUGAGACAGGUGCUGCAUGGCUGUCGUCAGCUCGUGUUGUGAAAUGUUGGGUUAAGUCCCGCAACGAGCGCAACCCUUAUCCUUGUUUGCCAGCACAUAAUGGUGGGAACUCCAGGGAGACUGCCGGUGAUAAACCGGAGGAAGGUGGGGACGACGUCAAGUCAUCAUGGCCCUUACGAGUAGGGCUACACACGUGCUACAAUGGCAGAUACAGAGGGCAGCGAGACAGCGAUGUUUAGCGAAUCCCUUAAAGUUUGUCGUAGUCCGGAUUGGAGUCUGCAACUCGACUCCAUGAAGUCGGAAUCGCUAGUAAUCGUGGAUCAGAAUGCCACGGUGAAUACGUUCCCGGGCCUUGUACACACCGCCCGUCACACCAUGGGAGUGGGCU